This 404-nucleotide ribosomal RNA is filed under the name uncultured bacterium. RNAcentral describes it as "bacterial SSU rRNA". It matches the Rfam family "Bacterial small subunit ribosomal RNA", at positions 355 to 776 of the family's 1533-position model. The record is from RNAcentral.
UGGGGAAUAUUGCACAAUGGGGGAAACCCUGAUGCAGCGACGCCGCGUGAGUGAAGAAGUAUUUCGGUAUGUAAAGCUCUAUCAGCAGGAACGAGAAUGACGGUACCUGACUAAGAAGCCCCGGCUAACUACGUGCCAGCAGCCGCGGUAAUACGUAGGGGGCAAGCGUUAUCCGGAAUCACUGGGUGUAAAGGGAGCGUAGACGGCAAGGCAAGCCUGGAGUGAAAGGCGGGGGCCCAACCCCCGGACUGCUCUGGGAACUGUCUGGCUGGAGUGCAGGAGAGGUAAGUGGAAUUCCUAGUGUAGCGGUGAAAUGCGUAGAUAUUAGGAGGAACACCAGUGGCGAAGGCGGCUUACUGGACUGUAACUGACGUUGAGGCUCGAAAGCGUGGGGAGCAAACAGG